UACGUAGGGGGCAAGCGUUAUCCGGAAUCACUGGGCGUAAAGGGAGCGUAGGCGGUUUGACAAGCCAGAGGUGAAAGGCAAUAGCUUAACUAUUGUAAGCCUUUGGAACUGUCGAACUUGAGUGCAGGAGAGGAAAGUGGAAUUCCUAGUGUAGCGGUGAAAUGCGUAGAUAUUAGGAGGAACACCAGUGGCGAAGGCGACUUUCUGGACUGUAACUGACGCUGAGGCUCGAAAGCGUGGGGAGCGAACAGG
This 252-nucleotide ribosomal RNA is filed under the name uncultured bacterium. RNAcentral describes it as "partial 16S ribosomal RNA". It matches the Rfam family "Bacterial small subunit ribosomal RNA", at positions 524 to 776 of the family's 1533-position model. The record is from RNAcentral.